Non-coding RNA from Callorhinus ursinus (northern fur seal), 1757 nucleotides. The record is from RefSeq and is a predicted model, not a curated record. Lineage: Eukaryota; Metazoa; Chordata; Mammalia; Carnivora; Otariidae.
GGCCGCCGGGACUGAGCGAGCGACAGACGCGCCACCCGCCGACGCUGCAGCCGCUUGGGGUCCGCACGGACCCUCUGCCUGAGUACAGAAUGAGCCAAGGGGAUUCAAACCCAGCAGCUAUUCCACAUGCAGCAGAAGAUAUUCAAGGAGAUGACAGAUGGAUGUCUCAGCACAACAGAUUUGUCCUGGACUGUGAAGACAAAGAGCCUGAUGUACUGUUUGUGGGGGAUUCCGUGGUGCAGUUAAUGCAGCAAUAUGAGAUAUGGCGAGAACUUUCUUCCCCACUUCAUGCACUGAAUUUUGGAAUUGGGGGAGAUACAACAAGACAUGUUUUGUGGAGACUAAAGAAUGAGAACUGGAGAAUAUUAAAGCUAAGGUCAUUGUUGUCUGGGUAGGAACAAACAACCAUGAAAAUACAGCAGAAGAAGUAGCAGGUGGAAUCGAGGCCAUCAUCCAACUUAUUAACACAAGGCAGCCACAGGCCAAAAUCAUUGUAUUGGGUUUGUUACCUCGAGGUGAGAAGCCCAACCCGUUGAGGCAAAAGAAUGCCAAGGUGAACAAGCUCCUCAAGGUUUCCCUGCCGAAGCUCACCAACGUCCAGCUCCUGGACACAGACGGGGGCUUCGUGCACUCGGACGGUGCCAUCUCCUGCCACGACAUGUUUGAUUUUCUGCACCUCACGGGAGGGGGCUACGCCAAGAUCUGCAAACCCCUGCAUGAACUGAUCAUGCAGUUGUUGGAGGAGACCCCUGAGGAGAAACAAACCACCAUCGCCUGACUGGCUCCCAUCAGUGUUACUUGCACCCCAGCUUCCUCAGAUCAGUUAUAUCACUGGCACUACAGAAUCCUUCUCUUUCCUAAGGCACUUUGCAUUGUAGAAUGUUCCUGGAUGUUCAUAUCUAGUGUUUGAAGGGGAGGAGGGAUUUAAACUGGUCCUGUACAUAGAAGGUUGGUUUGACACAGGAGACAAAUUAGCCAAGGAAGAUUGUUGUUUAAAUUCGUUUGAAACCAGAAGGGGACUUUUUAGUUGUAUGUGUGGCACACUCAUUGAAUUAUCACAGUUUUUCCUAGGACAACAUCGAGACUAAGGACGGAACAAAAUGAAGAUUUUUUUUUUCAUGGCCUUUCUUUCUAUGGAUUAUGUCAUAUAGAGUAACGAUCAGGAUCCACACCUACUUGGUUUUAAUACAGAUGUCUUUUCCAGUUUUUAAAGUUCAUAAUUUAGCCCUUUGUUUUUAGUUUGCUUUACUCCUAUGUAUUCGCAACAUUUUCUUAACAUACAGCAUCAGAUUGAACGUGCUUGUGAUUCAGAUAUAGGAGAUGCUAUGGUUAACAAGUGAAUUUGUUCCACUCUCUUAAUCUUUCCCAUGUUUAGCAGUAGAAGAAAGGUUUUGCCCCAUUUGGGGGACUCUAUGGAGGGUAUUAUUUUUAUGCUGCUGAAUAUCAUGUCUAUAAUAGACCCACGCAUGCAGCCUUUCCUCCCUAUUUCCCCUCAUCCCCUCUUUGUUUUUUGGGGGGGGGUCCUUGUUGACAUUACAGGCUUUUAACACAUUUUUGACCUAGGAGCUCUGUUGCUGGAAGUGUAAGUCCCCAGCCAGUUACUCUCAUGAUGAUAGUACUGAUGUGCAGCUCAUUCUCGUGUGGUGCUCUGUGCGUAGUCUCUGUAGUGCUGUCCAGGUUCGGAGUUCUGGUUUGGUUUGGUUUGUUUUUCCCUCAAGAUGUUUUACACUUUCCUCUUUUGGAAAAAAAAAAAAAAA